Molecule: long non-coding RNA, 947 nt
Filed under: Homo sapiens (human)
Lineage: Eukaryota; Metazoa; Chordata; Mammalia; Primates; Hominidae
Description: myelodysplastic syndrome 2 translocation associated, transcript variant 10 (MDS2)
Source: RNAcentral
GUACUAGCUGUCAGCUGCUGGAGACCUUGCUUUCUGUUUCACUGGGAAACAGAAGCAAUCAGAAGGAAACUUCCUCAGACUCCACCUCUCCCUUCACUCCCGCCUGUAUCCGUGCCUGUUACCUGGACGCCUUGUGGAACUUGAAUUCUACGCCCUCCACUGGGACACUGCCCUUCAUCCUCUCUCACCUCCUCCAGGACAACACUCUCUCUGUGGGGCUUUCACCCCCAUCGCUCCACUGAAACUGCUCUUGUCAAGGUCAUCGAUGACCUCCCGCUGACAAACUCAACUGUCCCAUCUCUACACCCCAAACUGACCCAUCAGGAAUAGCAUGAGCUCCACCUUCCAAAGCUUCCGCAAUCUCACCGUCUCCACCGUUACUACCUGUGUCCGAGGCACCACUGUUUCUUGCCUGGAGUUGUAGACGGGAUUUCACCGUGUUAGCCAGGAUGGUCUCGAUCUCCUGACCUCGUGAUCCGCCUGUCUCGACCUCCCAAAGUGCUGGGAUUACAGAAUGUUGUAGUCCUCAUCAUCAGCAGAGACUUUGUGCCAUCCUCUGCUAUAUUAUCCUGAAGAGUGCCUGGCUCAUGCUGCAGUGUUCUGAAUAGCAGUCCAGCUAUGAGGGGAGGUGCCCGUGGCAGGCCUCAGCUGACCCUGGAGAGGCCAUUAAGACCUGGCUGUCGCCUCCACAGCUGCUCGGAGGCAGGUGUUCAAUAAAUGACAGACGCUACCAUCACAGAUUACCAAUGUUACAAAACUGUAAACAGAGAAAGGUGGCUUUGUAAGAAGAAAAGAGAUCAUUCUUUUUCCACCAUGUGAGGACCCAGCAAGAGGGUGGCUGUCUGCAAACCCAGGGAGAGAGCCCUCACCAGGAAUCUGCUGGCACCUUAAUCUUGGACUUCCCAGCCUCCACAACUGUGAGGAAUAAAUGUAUGUUGUUUAAGCCA